RNAcentral lists this ribosomal RNA (460 nucleotides) under uncultured bacterium. RNAcentral describes it as "partial 16S ribosomal RNA". It matches the Rfam family "Bacterial small subunit ribosomal RNA", at positions 338 to 795 of the family's 1533-position model. The record is from RNAcentral.
CCUACGGGUGGCAGCAGUGAGGAAUAUUGGUCAAUGGACGAGAGUCUGAACCAGUCAAGUAGCGUGAAGGAUGACUGCCCUAUGGGUUGUAAACUUCUUUUAUAAAGGAAUAAAACGAGGCACGUGUGCCUUUUUGCAUGUACUUUAUGAAUAAGGAUCGGCUAACUCCGUGCCAGCAGCCGCGGUAAUACGGAGGAUCCGAGCGUUAUCCGGAUUUAUUGGGUUUAAAGGGAGCGUAGAUGGGUUGUUAAGUCAGUUGUGAAAGUUUGCGGCUCAACCGUAAAAUUGCAAUUGAUACUGGCAGUCGUGAGUACAGUUGAGGUAGGCGGAAUUCGUGGUGUAGCGGUGAAAUGCUUAGAUAUCACGAAGAACCCCGAUUGCGAAGGCAGCUUACUAAACUGUGACUGACAUUGAUGCUCGAAAGUGUGGGUAUCAAACAGGAUUAGAUACCCGGGUAGUC